UCUUGGCCUCAAAUCAGGUAGGACUACCCGCUGAACUUAAGCAUAUCAAUAAGCGGAGGAAAAGAAACUAACAAGGAUUCCCCUAGUAACUGCGAGUGAAGAGGGAAAAGCUCAAAUUUAGAAUCUGGCAGUUUCGCUGUCCGAGUUGUAAUUAGAGAAG
This 160-nucleotide ribosomal RNA is filed under the name Marasmius grandiviridis. Its description in RNAcentral is "partial large subunit ribosomal RNA". It matches the Rfam family "Eukaryotic large subunit ribosomal RNA", at positions 1 to 157 of the family's 3401-position model. The record is from RNAcentral. Lineage: Eukaryota; Fungi; Basidiomycota; Agaricomycetes; Agaricales; Marasmiaceae.